Molecule: transfer RNA, 85 nt
Filed under: Nanobdellota archaeon
Lineage: Archaea; Nanobdellati; Nanobdellota
Description: tRNA-Leu
Rfam family: tRNA
About the family: Transfer RNA (tRNA) molecules are approximately 80 nucleotides in length. Their secondary structure includes four short double-helical elements and three loops (D, anti-codon, and T loops). Further hydrogen bonds mediate the characteristic L-shaped molecular structure. tRNAs have two regions of fundamental functional importance: the anti-codon, which is responsible for specific mRNA codon recognition, and the 3' end, to which the tRNAs corresponding amino acid is attached (by aminoacyl-tRNA synthetases). tRNAs cope with the degeneracy of the genetic code in two manners: having more than one tRNA (with a specific anti-codon) for a particular amino acid; and 'wobble' base-pairing, i.e. permitting non-standard base-pairing at the 3rd anti-codon position.
Source: RNAcentral
GCCAGGGUGGCGGAACGGUAGACGCGGUCGCCUCAAAAGCGAUUUUCUCUCACAAGAAGUGCGGGUUCAAAUCCCGUCCCUGGCG